GGGGGCGAUCGGUUUCGACCGGGCACGUGAAGCGCCGGUUGCGCGCGGUGGGCGUCCGGGUCCACCUGAAUCCUCCGGGCACCAAUCGCAACUGCCAAUCCGCAGUUUGCACUCGCUGCCUAACUAGCGCCAACGCUGGUUGGUCACGACCGUCCCCGGGGCCCUCGCUUGCGGGCUCCGGCAAGACGGCCAUAAAAGCAAGCUGGCCGUACUCCCCCCGUCCGAGGGGACGCGGCGAGAUCAACCGGGCUGGCCCCGGGGCACCCCGUCGGUCGGGGGUCCCGAGGCGAGAUCCAUGGGCCGACUACGCGCGUAGAUGCUGGCGUCGAUCUGUCACGGGACGCGGGUUCGAUUCCCGCCGCCUCCACCA
This 370-nucleotide transfer-messenger RNA is filed under the name Planctomycetota. Its description in RNAcentral is "JACQVV01 sp016209595 Standard tmRNA". It matches the Rfam family "transfer-messenger RNA". From Rfam's summary of the family: Bacterial tmRNA, also known as 10Sa RNA or SsrA, is named for its dual tRNA and mRNA-like properties. Its role is to liberate the mRNA from a stalled ribosome. RNAcentral also lists the same sequence under 1 other name. Lineage: Bacteria; Pseudomonadati. The record is from RNAcentral.